CAGCACCUCAAGUGGUCAGGAGGAUUAUUGGGCCUAAAGCAUCCGUAGCCUGUUCUAUAAGUUUGCGGUUAAAUCUAUACGCUCAACGUAUAGGCUGCCGUAAAUACUGUAGAACUAGGGAGUGGGAGAGGUAGACGGUACUCGAUAGGAAGGGGUAAAAUCCUUUGACCUAUUAGUGACCACCUGUGGCGAAGGCGGUCUACCAGAACACGUUCGACGGUGAGGGAUGAAAGCUGGGGGAGCAAACCAGGUUAGAUCCCGGUAGUCCCAGCUGUAAACGAUGCAGACUCAGUGUGCAAUGGC
This 303-nucleotide ribosomal RNA is filed under the name unidentified marine archaeon p712-12. Its description in RNAcentral is "bacterial SSU rRNA". It matches the Rfam family "Archaeal small subunit ribosomal RNA", at positions 477 to 782 of the family's 1478-position model. The record is from RNAcentral.